RNAcentral lists this non-coding RNA (24 nucleotides) under Arabidopsis thaliana (thale cress). Lineage: Eukaryota; Viridiplantae; Streptophyta; Magnoliopsida; Brassicales; Brassicaceae. The record is from RNAcentral.
UUUGGUUUGUGUUGAGUAAAAUCU